RNAcentral lists this ribosomal RNA (497 nucleotides) under uncultured bacterium. Its description in RNAcentral is "partial 16S ribosomal RNA". It matches the Rfam family "Bacterial small subunit ribosomal RNA", at positions 28 to 507 of the family's 1533-position model. The record is from RNAcentral.
GACGAACGCUGGCGGCGUGCCUAAUACAUGCAAGUUGAGCGCUGAAGGUUGGUACUUGUACCAACUGGAUGAGCAGCGAACGGGUGAGUAACGCGUGGGGAAUCUGCCUUUGAGCGGGGGACAACAUUUGGAAACGAAUGCUAAUACCGCAUAAAAACUUUAAACACAAGUUUUAAGUUUGAAAGAUGCAAUUGCAUCACUCAAAGAUGAUCCCGCGUUGUAUUAGCUAGUUGGUGAGGUAAAGGCUCACCAAGGCGAUGAUACAUAGCCGACCUGAGAGGGGGAUCGGCCACAUUGGGACUGGGACACGGCCCAAGCUCCUACGGGAGGCAGCAGUAGGGAAUCUUCGGCAAUGGACGAAAGUCUGACCGAGCAACGCCGCGUGAGUGAAGAAGGUUUUCGGAUCGUAAAACUCUGUUGGUAGAGAAGAACGUUGGUGAGAGUGGAAAGCUCAUCAAGUGACGGUAACUACCCAGAAAGGGACGGCUAACUACGUG